CGCGUAGGCGGCUUUGUAAGUCGGAUGUGAAAGCCCCGGGCUUAACCUGGGAAUUGCAUUCGAUACUGCAGGGCUAGAGUAUGGGAGAGGGAAGUGGAAUUUCCGGUGUAGCGGUGAAAUGCGUAGAUAUCGGAAGGAACACCAGUGGCGAAGGCGACUUCCUGGCCCAAUACUGACGCUGAGGUGCGAAAGCGUGGGGAGCAAACA
RNAcentral lists this ribosomal RNA (207 nucleotides) under uncultured bacterium. RNAcentral's name for it is "partial 16S ribosomal RNA". It matches the Rfam family "Bacterial small subunit ribosomal RNA", at positions 568 to 774 of the family's 1533-position model. The record is from RNAcentral.